This 764-nucleotide ribosomal RNA is filed under the name uncultured bacterium. Its description in RNAcentral is "partial 16S ribosomal RNA". The record is from RNAcentral.
UGAACUUAAACGACCGCGCGAUGUUAAUGCUUCUAANAGUUUUAGGCUGUGUGGUUUAAAGUACUAACAUCCUAGGUCCGUUCGUUUAACACACGCCUGCUCCGGCGCGCGGCGCAUGGGGACGGGGAUAACUAGGUUCUAGGGACACACCUAGCCUAGACUAGAGACGAGAGGAGACUACACCAUAACAUAGAGAACACCCGAGNAUAAGCCUAAAAGAUAUCCAGCACAUACAACCGNAUCCGCCAAAGAACCCCAAAAGAACGNGANGAGAGANCCCCCAUAUUCAGGAAGGUCCCCAUUCCAAAUAGGACCAAAAAUCCAGGGAANUNAGGUAAGGCCCCCNAGGAACCAUAUGAGAGGAACUAUUAAGGCAUUAAANGAAUNUUACAGAAGGAAAGGNGGAGGAGGGUAAACAACCAGGAGGGNAUUAUCAAAGUCGCCCCAUAAAAAGAGANGGUCNAGAAACAACCGGGAAAUAAUUCCAGCCACCCAUAUAAAAAGUUGCCAGAAGGGGGGAAAUCCCUAUGGGAACGGGAAANAGGAGGGGAAAUUUAUAGANAACACUCCCAGAGGAGGUCCUNACAAGCCAAUGCUAAAGAGGGAACAAACUCCCGAUAAGNGAAGGAAACACGAAACCAGAAGGGUGAUCCCCCNAGAGGAAAAAGACNAUAUACCGCCGUUAAACGCCCGGAUGGAGAGAAACUGGGAGGGCAAGCAGGCCAACAGGGAAUAGGAGGAAGGUGAGGAAACAACAAUAAAAC